Molecule: transfer RNA, 69 nt
Filed under: Marmota monax (woodchuck)
Lineage: Eukaryota; Metazoa; Chordata; Mammalia; Rodentia; Sciuridae
Description: tRNA.Ala
Source: RNAcentral
GCAUGAGGCUCAAUGGGAGCACGCUUGCCUAGCAUGUAAGAGGCACUGGGUUCGAUUCUCAGCACUGCA